This 255-nucleotide ribosomal RNA is filed under the name Listeria monocytogenes. Its description in RNAcentral is "partial 16S ribosomal RNA". It matches the Rfam family "Bacterial small subunit ribosomal RNA", at positions 61 to 304 of the family's 1533-position model. The record is from RNAcentral. Lineage: Bacteria; Bacillati; Bacillota; Bacilli; Caryophanales; Listeriaceae.
GUCGAACGAACGGAGGAAGAGCUUGCUCUUCCAAAGUUAGUGGCGGACGGGUGAGUAACACGUGGGCAACCUGCCUGUAAGUUGGGGAUAACUCCGGGAAACCGGGGCUAAUACCGAAUGAUAAAGUUUGGCGCAUGCCACGCUUUUGAAAGAUGGUUUCGGCUAUCGCUUACAGAUGGGCCCGCGGUGCAUUAGCUAGUUGGUAGGGUAAUGGCCUACCAAGGCAACGAUGCAUAGCCGACCUGAGAGGGUGAU